This 254-nucleotide ribosomal RNA is filed under the name uncultured bacterium. RNAcentral's name for it is "partial 16S ribosomal RNA". It matches the Rfam family "Bacterial small subunit ribosomal RNA", at positions 524 to 776 of the family's 1533-position model. The record is from RNAcentral.
UACGGGGGGAGCAAGCGUUGUUCGGAUUUACUGGGCGUAAAGGGCGCGUAGGCGGUCGUGACAAGUCACUUGUGAAAUCUCCGGGCUUAACUCGGAACGGUCAAGUGAUACUGUCGGACUAGAGUACAGAAGGGGCAACUGGAAUUCUCGGUGUAGCGGUGAAAUGCGUAGAUAUCGAAAGGAACACCUGCGGCGAAGGCGGGUUGCUGGGCUGAUACUGACGCUGAGGCGCGAAAGCCAGGGGAGCGAACGGG